GGUUGUGGCUCAGUGGUAGAGUACUUGCCUGGCAUGUGGGAGGCACUGGGUUUGAUUCUCAGCACCA
Molecule: transfer RNA, 67 nt
Filed under: Marmota monax (woodchuck)
Lineage: Eukaryota; Metazoa; Chordata; Mammalia; Rodentia; Sciuridae
Description: tRNA.Ala
Rfam family: tRNA
About the family: Transfer RNA (tRNA) molecules are approximately 80 nucleotides in length. Their secondary structure includes four short double-helical elements and three loops (D, anti-codon, and T loops). Further hydrogen bonds mediate the characteristic L-shaped molecular structure. tRNAs have two regions of fundamental functional importance: the anti-codon, which is responsible for specific mRNA codon recognition, and the 3' end, to which the tRNAs corresponding amino acid is attached (by aminoacyl-tRNA synthetases). tRNAs cope with the degeneracy of the genetic code in two manners: having more than one tRNA (with a specific anti-codon) for a particular amino acid; and 'wobble' base-pairing, i.e. permitting non-standard base-pairing at the 3rd anti-codon position.
Source: RNAcentral